RNAcentral lists this ribosomal RNA (305 nucleotides) under uncultured bacterium. RNAcentral's name for it is "bacterial SSU rRNA". It matches the Rfam family "Bacterial small subunit ribosomal RNA", at positions 30 to 334 of the family's 1533-position model. The record is from RNAcentral.
AUUGAACGCUGGCGGCACGCUUAACACAUGCAAGUCGAACGGCAGCGGCGGGGGAGCUUGCUUCCCUGGCGGCGAGUGGCGGACGGGUGAGUAACGCGUAGGUAUCUGCCCUAAAGCGGGGGACAACCCGAGGAAACUCGGGCUAAUACCGCAUAAUCUCUUCGGAGUAAAGGCUGCGUAAGCAGUCGCUUUAGGAUGAGCCUGCGUUGGAUUAGCUUGUUGGUGGGGUAAUGGCCUACCAAGGCAAUGAUCCAUAGCUGGUCUGAGAGGACGAUCAGCCACACUGGGACUGAGACACGGCCCAG